UCCCAGGGGCGGGGCGACUGCACUCGCGUUUCCUCCUUCGGCGCCAUUUUGUAGCGCAGAGAAUCCGCAAAUAAAGAGCGGGCGGCAGCGCGGGGUGGGGGAGGCGGCGACCGCGGAGGCCCCGGGUCUGGGCGCUGAGGCGGGUGCGGAAGGUGCCGCCCUUGAUGUGACGGGCCAGGCCCGGGCAGUCGGUGCGCGGGGACAGCGAGGCCUCCGCGCCGCAAGCGGGAGUUCACAAUGACUAAUGAAGAACCUCUUCCAAAGAAGGUUCGCCUUAGUGAAACAGACUUUAAGGUUUUGGGUAGAGAUGAACUGAUCCUAAGGUGGAAGCAAUAUGAAGCAUAUGUACAGGCUCUGGAGGGCAAAUACACAGAUCUUAAUUCUAAUGAUGUAACUGGAUUGAGGGAGUCUGAAGAGAAGCUGAAGCAACAACAGCAAGAGUCUGCCCGAAGAGAGAAUAUCCUGGUGAUGAGACUGGCAACGAAGGAACAGGAAAUGCAAGAGUGUACUAAUCAGAUUCAGUACCUCAAGCAAGUCCAGCAGCCUAGCGUUGCCCAACUGAGAUCAACAAUGGUGGAUCCAGCCAUCAACUUGUUUUUCCUAAAAAUGAAAGGUGAACUGGAACAGACUAAAGACAAACUGGAACAAGCCCAAAAUGAACUGAGUGCCUGGAAAUUUACGCCUGAUAGAGGCCUGAUGGCGUCGGACUAUUCUGAAGAAGUGGCCGCCUCUGAAAAUUUUUUCCUUUCUAGAACAUGUAGACACGUGCAAAGUGGUUCUAUUUGAAGAAAUAGAGGGAGAAACAGAAGUCUUAAGUCUGUGGCACACUGUGUCUACAGACAGUUUGGAGGAGAGAGAACCUAGAGAUUUUAAAUCAUGAAUUGAACAUGUAAAAUUCCAGUAAAAUGUAAAAAUGGAAUAUGCUUCGCUCUUAACCUUGAGCCUAGUGACUUAGAGACACUGUAAGUCAGUUUUGCCAAUAAGACUGUGGACUUCCUGCUUGUUCACUGAACUGCUGGGUCAAAACUCAAUGAGGUCAGCACAACUCUAAGCUUCAAGGACUUGGCAUUGGACAUCACAUCAAGAUAAAGAACAGGUUGCUGUAUUAAGCACAUUUGCAGGCUUCCAGGACUUUACGCAGCCAGAUUCCUUCUGGAGCAGCCCAUCUGAAAGAUGUGGGAGAGUCAGUUGGAAGACUUUAAAUGGGACAGAGUUGGCAGAACUUUUAAAAAUCUGAAGUGUUAAAAGCUUGAAUGCUUAAGCAGUAGCUAAUUGAGAGAUGAUUUGAAGUGACUUUUGGCUGGGCACCAGUUUUGCUGUGGAUGUGAAGCAUACUAGCAAUUUUUUUUUCUUUUUAAUAUGCAAAAUUUCAUUCUGCCCUUGUGACUUUAUUAUACAGUCUCAAGCUGACCUCCUCAGGCUUGUUACCUAAUACAAGUCCUGAAGUUCAAUCACAAACCUGAUUAAUUCUGUUUUUCUAGGGCUUUCAUUUCCUGUGGAAAAAGAGGACUGCUUCAUUAUAUAUGUUGCUGAACCUCAAGGAAGGCAAAACAUUUGGUUACUUUCCUAGCUUUGGCAGACCAACAGUGGUAGAGGGCUUUAGCUAUCAAUUUUAUUUUGUGAUGAAAUAAACAUUAUUGCCUAUAUAUUAAUUUGCAUACUAGUUCCUAUAAUGCUCUACAUUGCAGUUUUAACAUGAAGAUUUAAGAUAUGCAUGUGUUCCUGAUUUUGCAAAAAGCAGAAUAUCAAAUCUGCUUUUUCCCUAUGAAAUACUUUUUGGUCUGAUGUUUCCUGGCUUUUGAUCACCAGACACUCUUAAAGGGACACUGUCAACUUUCAAAUCUGGUUAAACUAAAAAAACAAAAAACAAAAGCUGCUUAUACUUGCUCCUGGAUCCCCCUGCUGCCUUGUAUUUUUCAGCUCCAUUUUCUGUUAUCUCCUCUCACACUCGUGAGUGAGAAGGAGCUGACUGUAGCUAUUGGGGAAACAACAAAGCAAUGUAUAUAGUGUCAAAAGUACAAAAUUGGAAAAAUAUAAAUAUUUAAUCAUUCAGGUGCAUUAAGAAGUUUUCAUGCUGAUCAAAAAAAAAAUCAUUAAAUUCAAUAUUCUCCAAAUCUGACAGUUUAAAAAAAAAUAGCUGAAUAGCUAGUAAAAUAUUUUUAGUACAUAAAGUGAAGGAUCACUUUUAAUGUUUGUAACUCACUGUCUGAUUACCAG
Non-coding RNA from Chrysemys picta bellii (western painted turtle), 2217 nucleotides. NCBI's taxonomy places the organism in Eukaryota, Metazoa, Chordata, Testudines, Emydidae. The record is from RefSeq and is a predicted model, not a curated record.